RNAcentral lists this transfer RNA (62 nucleotides) under Neoamphitrite affinis. Its description in RNAcentral is "tRNA-Gly". The record is from RNAcentral. Lineage: Eukaryota; Metazoa; Annelida; Polychaeta; Terebellida; Terebellidae.
GCAUUUUUAGUAUAUUUAGUACAAAUACCUUCCAAGUAUUAAGUUUAUUUUUAAAUAAUGCA